GGAGGAUUAGCUCAGCUGGGAGAGCAUCUGCCUUACAAGCAGAGGGUCAUAGGUUCGAUCCCUAUAUCCUCCACC
This 75-nucleotide transfer RNA is filed under the name Sporolactobacillus inulinus. RNAcentral describes it as "tRNA-Val". It matches the Rfam family "tRNA". Rfam says of the family: Transfer RNA (tRNA) molecules are approximately 80 nucleotides in length. Their secondary structure includes four short double-helical elements and three loops (D, anti-codon, and T loops). Lineage: Bacteria; Bacillati; Bacillota; Bacilli; Caryophanales; Sporolactobacillaceae. The record is from RNAcentral.